AUUGAACGCUGGCGGCAGGCCUAACACAUGCAAGUCGAGCGGAUGACGGGAGCUUGCUCCUUGAUUCAGCGGCGGACGGGUGAGUAAUGCCUAGGAAUCUGCCUGGUAGUGGGGGACAACGUUUCGAAAGGAACGCUGAUACCGCAUACGUCAUACGGGAGAAAGCAGGGGACCUUCGGGCCUUGCGCUAUCAGAUGCGCCUAGGUCGGAUUAGCUAGUAGGUGAGGUAAUGGCUCACCUAGGCGACGAUCCGUAACUGGUCUGAGAGGAUGAUCAGUCACACUGGAACUGAGACACGGUCCAGACUCCUACGGGAGGCAGCAGUGGGGAAUAUUGGACAAUGGGCGAAAGCCUGAUCCAGCCAUGCCGCGUGUGUGAAGAAGGUCUUCGGAUUGUAAAGCACUUUAAGUUGGGAGGAAGGGUUGUACGUUAAUUCCGUGCAAUUUUGACGUUACCGACGGAAUAAGCACCGGCUAACUCUGUGCCAGCAGCCGCAGUAA
RNAcentral lists this ribosomal RNA (500 nucleotides) under uncultured bacterium. RNAcentral describes it as "partial 16S ribosomal RNA". It matches the Rfam family "Bacterial small subunit ribosomal RNA", at positions 30 to 523 of the family's 1533-position model. The record is from RNAcentral.